CCUACGGGAGGCAGCAGUGGGGAAUAUUGCGCAAUGGGCGGAAGCCUGACGCAGCGACGCCGUGUGGGGGAUGAAGGCCUUCGGGUUGUAAACCUCUUUCGUCAUCGACGAAGUCUUGCCUUGUGUGGGUGGGGUGACGGUAGGUGGGGAAGAAGCGCCGGCUAACUACGUGCCAGCAGCCGCGGUAAUACGUAGGGCGCGAGCGUUGUCCGGAUUUAUUGGGCGUAAAGAGCUCGUAGGUGGUUUGUUGCGUCUGCCGUGAAAGCUCGUGGCUUAACUGCGGGUUUGCGGUGGAUACGGGCGGACUUGAGGCAGGUAGGGGAGAAUGGAAUUCCCGGUGUAGCGGUGAAAUGCGCAGAUAUCGGGAGGAACACCGGUGGCGAAGGCGGUUCUCUGGGCCUGUUCUGACACUGAGGAGCGAAAGCGUGGGGAGCGAACAG
This 440-nucleotide ribosomal RNA is filed under the name uncultured bacterium. Its description in RNAcentral is "bacterial SSU rRNA". It matches the Rfam family "Bacterial small subunit ribosomal RNA", at positions 338 to 775 of the family's 1533-position model. The record is from RNAcentral.